AGCCUGCUGGUGCACAUGAAGGUGAAGGCAUUUCCUUGAAUAAAACGUGUAGUUUGUCUGGAGAAAUAUUUCUUUUUUUCGGAAUAAUUUAUUUGAAGUAAUUUUGGGGGCCAUUGUCUGGUUCUAUGGUAAAAUUAUUAGGUGGCUUUGUUUUUUCUUUAUUUUUUCCGCUCCUUUGUGAGAUAGACAGAAGAUCACAUGUUACAAUUAAAAUGAA
Molecule: unclassified non-coding RNA, 217 nt
Filed under: Hevea brasiliensis (rubber tree)
Lineage: Eukaryota; Viridiplantae; Streptophyta; Magnoliopsida; Malpighiales; Euphorbiaceae
Source: RNAcentral